AGUGAACGCUGGCGGUAGGCCUAACACAUGCAAGUCGAACGGCAGCACAGUAAGAGCUUGCUCUUACGGGUGGCGAGUGGCGGACGGGUGAGGAAUACAUCGGAAUCUACUUUUUCGUGGGGGAUAACGUAGGGAAACUUACGCUAAUACCGCAUACGACCUACGGGUGAAAGCAGGGGAUCUUCGGACCUUGCGCGAUUGAAGGAGCCGAUGUCGGAUUAGCUAGUUGGCGGGGUAAAGGCCCACCAAGGCGACGAUCCGUAGCUGGUCUGAGAGGAUGAUCAGCCACACUGGAACUGAGACACGGUCCAGACUCCUACGGGAGGCAGCAGUGGGGAAUAUUGGACAAUGGGCGCAAGCCUGAUCCAGCCAUACCGCGUGGGUGAAGAAGGCCUUCGGGUUGUAAAGCCCUUUUGUUGGGAAAGAAAAGCAGCAGGUUAAUACCCCGCUGUUAUGACGGUACCCAAAGAAUAAGCACCGGCUAACUUCGUG
Molecule: ribosomal RNA, 492 nt
Filed under: uncultured bacterium
Lineage: Bacteria
Description: partial 16S ribosomal RNA
Rfam family: Bacterial small subunit ribosomal RNA
Source: RNAcentral